GGAGGGUGCGAGCGUUAAUCGGAAUUACUGGGCGUAAUGCGCACGCAGGCGGAUACUUAAGCUAGAUGGGAAAGCCCCGGGCUCAACCUGGGAUGGUCAUUUAGAACUGGUAGACUAGAGUCUUGGAGAGGGGAGUGGAAUUCCAGGUGUAGCGGUGAAAUGCGUAGAGAUCUGGAGGAACAUCAGUGGCGAAGGCGACUCCCUGGCCAAUGACUGACGCUCAUGUGCGAAAGUGUGGGUAGCGAACAGGAUUAGAUACCCUGGUAGUCCACACCGUAAACGCUGUCUACUAGCUGUAUGUUUUUUAUAAGAUGUGUGGCGUACGCUAACGCGCUAAGUAGACCGCCUGGGGAGUACGGCCGCAAGGUUAAAACUCAAAUGAAUUGACGGGGGCCCGCACAAGCGGUGGAGCAUGUGGUUUAAUUCGAUGCAACGCGAAGAACCUUACCUACACUUGACAUCCAGAGAACUUACCAGAGAUGGUUUGGUGC
This 491-nucleotide ribosomal RNA is filed under the name uncultured Gammaproteobacteria bacterium. Its description in RNAcentral is "bacterial SSU rRNA". It matches the Rfam family "Bacterial small subunit ribosomal RNA", at positions 527 to 1017 of the family's 1533-position model. Lineage: Bacteria; Pseudomonadati; Pseudomonadota; Gammaproteobacteria. The record is from RNAcentral.